RNAcentral lists this transfer RNA (77 nucleotides) under Acidimicrobiaceae bacterium. RNAcentral describes it as "tRNA-Arg". It matches the Rfam family "tRNA". Rfam says of the family: Transfer RNA (tRNA) molecules are approximately 80 nucleotides in length. Their secondary structure includes four short double-helical elements and three loops (D, anti-codon, and T loops). Lineage: Bacteria; Bacillati; Actinomycetota; Acidimicrobiia; Acidimicrobiales; Acidimicrobiaceae. The record is from RNAcentral.
GCCUCCGUAGCUCAGAUGGAUAGAGCAACGGACUUCUAAUCCGUAGGUCGCAGGUUCGACUCCUGCCGGGGGCGCAA